ACGGAAGUCGUUGUAAUGAAAUGGAAAUGGACAGAGAACUUGUUCGAAGAAAGUUGAAGUAGACUUACAACAAUGGCUUUAGUGGCGGACUGGUGAGUAACGCGUAAGGAACCUGCCUUUUAGAGGGGAAUAACAAUGAGAAAUCAUUGCUAAUACCGCAUAUGCCGAGAGAAUCACAUGGUACAAUCGGGAAAGGAGCAAUUCGCUAAAAGAUGGCCUUGCGUCUGAUUAGAUAGUUGGUGGGGUAACGGCCUGCCAAGUCGACGAUCAGUAGCCGGACUGAGAGGUUGAACGGCCACAUUGGGACUGAGAUACGGCCCAGACUCCUACGGGAGGCAGCAGUCGGGAAUAUUGCGCAAUGGAGGAAACUCUGACGCAGUGACGCCGCGUAUAGGAAGAAGGUUUUCGGAUUGUAAACUAUUGUCGUUAGGGAAGAGAAAGGACAGUACCUAAGGAGGAAGCUCCGGCUAACUACGUGCCAGCAGCCGCGGUAAUACGUAGGGAGCGAGCGUUAUCCGGAAUUAUUGGGUGUAAAGGGUGCGUAGACGGGAAGAUAAGUUAGUUGUGAAAUCCCUCGGCUUAACUGAGGAACUGCAACUAAAACUGUUUUUCUUGAGUGCAGGAGAGGUAAGUGGAAUUCCUAGUGUAGCGGUGAAAUGCGUAGAUAUUAGGAGGAACACCAGUGGCG
Molecule: ribosomal RNA, 688 nt
Filed under: uncultured bacterium
Lineage: Bacteria
Description: bacterial SSU rRNA
Rfam family: Bacterial small subunit ribosomal RNA
Source: RNAcentral